AGUGAGUGGCGAACGGGUGAGUAACACGUGGGUAACCUGCCCAGAAGUAGGGGAUAACACCUGGAAACAGAUGCUAAUACCGUAUAACAGAGAAAACCGCAUGGUUUUCUUUUAAAAGAUGGGUCUGCUAUCACUUCUGGAUGGACCCGCGGCGUAUUAGCUAGUUGGUGAGGUAAAGGCUCACCAAGGCAGUGAUACGUAGCCGACCUGAGAGGGUAAUCGGCCACAUUGGGACUGAGACACGGCCCAGACUCCUACGGGAGGCAGCAGUAGGGAAUCUUCCACAAUGGACGCAAGUCUGAUGGAGCAACGCCGCGUGAGUGAAGAAGGGUUUCGGCUCGUAAAGCUCUGUUGUUAAAGAAGAACGUGGGUAAGAGUAACUGUUUACCCAGUGACGGUAUUUAACCAGAAAGCCACGGCUAACUACGUG
RNAcentral lists this ribosomal RNA (430 nucleotides) under Pediococcus pentosaceus. RNAcentral describes it as "bacterial SSU rRNA". It matches the Rfam family "Bacterial small subunit ribosomal RNA", at positions 90 to 507 of the family's 1533-position model. Lineage: Bacteria; Bacillati; Bacillota; Bacilli; Lactobacillales; Lactobacillaceae. The record is from RNAcentral.